Molecule: ribosomal RNA, 372 nt
Filed under: uncultured organism
Description: bacterial SSU rRNA
Rfam family: Bacterial small subunit ribosomal RNA
Source: RNAcentral
CAGAGGUCUCAAGCGUUGUUCGGAUUCAUUGGGCGUAAAGGGUGCGUAGGUGGCGCGGUAAGUCGGGUGUGAAAUCUCGGAGCUUAACUCCGAAAUUGCAUUCGAUACUGCCGUGCUCGAGGACUGGAGAGGAGACUGGAAUUCAUGGUGUAGCAGUGAAAUGCGUAGAGAUCAUGAGGAAGACCAGUGGCGAGGGCGGGUCUCUGGACAGUUCCUGACACUGAGGCACGAAGGCCAGGGGAGCAAACGGGAUUAGAUACCCCGGUAGUCCUGGCAGUAAACGGUGCACGUUUGGUGUGGGAGGAUUCGACCCCUUCCGCGCCGGAGCUAACGCGUUAAACGUGCCGCCUGGGGAGUACGGUCGCAAGAUUA